Molecule: non-coding RNA, 45 nt
Organism: Schistosoma curassoni
Lineage: Eukaryota; Metazoa; Platyhelminthes; Trematoda; Strigeidida; Schistosomatidae
Source: Rfam
AUUUAAUUGACAAGUCUUAAAUAAGACGAAACGCGCUUCCUGGAU